Molecule: long non-coding RNA, 666 nt
Organism: Mauremys reevesii (Reeves's turtle)
Lineage: Eukaryota; Metazoa; Chordata; Testudines; Geoemydidae
Exons: 4
Source: RefSeq, a predicted model, not a curated record
CCACCGGAGGAGCCAGAUGCCUUCUGUGAGCUCCUGAGCUGGGAGGCUGCUGCAGACCCCGAGGGAGCCGAGGACUGGCCAGGACAGCCAGGGCCAUUUACAGACCCAAGCACAGAAGAGCUGCAAGUGCCUUCUUCCCCGACAACCAGGAUGACCCUCUACAGAGCCAGCAUUAUAUGGAAAAGUUCUAGAGAUGAAACCGCCCUCUGAGAGUCACCGGUGGGACACCCAGGCGGCACUGAACUCACAUAUCCCAUUCCUGGAGCUGGACCCUCUGGGGAGAUGGAGUGGCCGCUCCCAGAAAGUUAGAAACGGUGAUUGAAAAUGGACUCCAGGAGCGAAAAUCACAGCUCUCUGCAGCCUCCGCAGCUUACAGACACCCGUGUAUGGCAGGGAGUCGAGAUCAGCGGCAGCCGAGUCCUCAGCAUUAGAUUAAAGUAGCGUAUGUUGGCUCCAAAGUCUCCUGUUCUUCUUGGACUCCCUCUUUCUCGCCGCCUCCCAGCUCAGGACAAGCGUAUGUGUGUUCGGGGGUGAAAUGCUCCCGCCAGCAGACAGGGCAGGGCUGCUCACAUGCUGCCAUCUGCCAGGACUUCUGACUUCCAGCUGGGCAACCGACGAUAUUUCACAAAGAGGGACCACCCGAACCACUGUGAUUUCUAAUAGUGU